RNAcentral lists this ribosomal RNA (541 nucleotides) under uncultured bacterium. Its description in RNAcentral is "bacterial SSU rRNA". It matches the Rfam family "Bacterial small subunit ribosomal RNA", at positions 355 to 896 of the family's 1533-position model. The record is from RNAcentral.
UGAGGAAUAUUGGGCAAUGGACGCAAGUCUGACCCAGCCAUGCCGCGUGAAGGAUGAAGGCGUUCUGCGUUGUAAACUUCUCUUAUCAGGGAAGAAACCUGCGUUUUCUAAUGCAGCCGACGGUACCUGAUGAAUAAGCACCGGCUAACUCCGUGCCAGCAGCCGCGGUAAUACGGAGGGUGCAAGCGUUAUCCGGAUUCACUGGGUUUAAAGGGUGUGUAGGCGGACUGUUAAGUCAGUGGCGAAAUCUCCGGGCUCAACCCGGAAACUGCCGUUGAUACUAUCAGUCUUGAAUUCUGUUGAGGUGGGCGGAAUACAUCAUGUAGCGGUGAAAUGCUUAGAUAUGAUGUAGAACACCGAUUGCGAAGGCAGCUCACUAAACAGCGAUUGACGCUGAGGCACGAAAGCGUGGGGAUCAAACAGGAUUAGAUACCCUGGUAGUCCACGCCCUAAACGAUGAUUACUCGACAUACGCGAUACACUGUGUGUGUCUGAGCGAAAGCAUUAAGUAAUCCACCUGGGAAGUACGACCGCAAGGUUG